AACGAACGCUGGCGGCAUGCCUAACACAUGCAAGUCGAACGAGACCUUCGGGUCUAGUGGCGCACGGGUGCGUAACGCGUGGGAACCUGCCCUUAGGUUCGGAAUAACUCCCCGAAAGGGGUGCUAAUACCGGAUAAUGUCUUCGGACCAAAGAUUUAUCGCCUUUGGAUGGGCCCGCGUUGGAUUAGCUAGUUGGUAGGGUAAAAGCCUGCCAAGGCGACGAUCCAUAGCUGGUCUGAGAGGAUGAUCAGCCACACUGGGACUGAGACACGGCCCAGACUCCUACGGGAAGCAGCAGUGGGGAAUAUUGGACAAUGGGCGAAAGCCUGAUCCAGCAAUGCCGCGUGAGUGAUGAAGGCCUUAGGGUUGUAAAGCUCUUUUACCCGGGAUGAUAAUGACAGUACCGGGAGAAUAAGCUCCGGCUAACUCCGUG
This 433-nucleotide ribosomal RNA is filed under the name uncultured bacterium. Its description in RNAcentral is "partial 16S ribosomal RNA". It matches the Rfam family "Bacterial small subunit ribosomal RNA", at positions 29 to 507 of the family's 1533-position model. The record is from RNAcentral.